Molecule: ribosomal RNA, 2004 nt
Filed under: Triticum aestivum (bread wheat)
Lineage: Eukaryota; Viridiplantae; Streptophyta; Magnoliopsida; Poales; Poaceae
Description: partial small subunit ribosomal RNA
Source: RNAcentral
AUGGCGUCCCCUUCCACGUCCACCAUCUUCUCCACCCUUCUUCUCUUCCUGAUGCAUUUCAACACCUCUCCGGCGACGGCCUUCUACCUCCCGGGGAGCUACCCGCACCGCUACCUCCCGGGCGAGGCCCUCGCCGCCAAGGUGAAUUCGCUCACCUCGCAGUCCUCCAAGCUGCCGUUCCCCUACUACUCCCUCCCCUUCUGCGCGCCGCAGGGCGGUGUCAACCGCGCCGCCGAGAGCCUCGGCGAGCUCCUCCUCGGGGACCGCAUCGAGACGUCGCCCUACCGCUUCUCCAUGCUCACCAACAGCACCGCCGCCUUGUUCCUCUGCCGCACCGACCCGGUCUCCCCCGCCGCCGCCGACCUCAUCAGGUCCCGCAUCGACGACGCCUACCACGUCAACCUCCUCCUCGACACGCUCCCCGUCGUCCGGUACGUGAAUAAUCCCAUCGCGCCGGACGUGCUGCUCCGGUCCACGGGUUUCCCCGUCGGCGUGCGCGCCGACGACGGGGAGUACUACGUCUACAACCACCUCAGGCUCACGGUUCUGGUCAACAAGCAGAGGAACGGCACCACAAGGGUGGAGGCCUUGAUGGCCACCGCCGACGCGUCUGAGCUCAUCGGCUUAUCCGGCGGCGGCGGCGGUGGGUACAGCGUCGUCGGGUUCGAGGUGGUGCCGUGCAGCGUGGAGCACGACGAGGCGGCCGUCGGCGACAAGAAGAUGUACGACGGCUUCUCGUCCAAGGCGGCCGCCGGGUGCGACCCUUCUGUGGUGGGCAUGCGCGUGCAGGCCAACAGGCCGCUGGCCUUCUCGUACGAGGUGGCCUUCGUGGAGAGCGCCGUGGAGUGGCCGUCGCGCUGGGACGCGUACCUGGAGAUGGGCGGCGCCCAGGUGCACUGGUUCUCCAUCCUCAACUCCAUCGUGGUGGUGGCGUUCCUGGCGGCCAUCGUGCUGGUCAUCCUGCUGCGCACCGUGCGGCGCGACCUGGCGCAGUACGAGGAGCUCGGCAGCGAGGCGGCGCCGCACGCGGACGACAUGGCCGGGUGGAAGCUCGUGGCCGGGGACGCGUUCCGGGAGCCCAGCCACCCGGUGCUCCUGUGCGUGAUGGUGGGCGACGGCGUGCGCAUCCUGGGCAUGGGCGUGGUCACCAUCCUGUUCGCGGCGCUCGGGUUCAUGUCGCCGGCGUCCCGGGGCGCGCUCGUGACCGGCAUGCUCUGCUUGUACCUCGUCCUGGGCCUCGCGGCCGGGUACACGUCCGUGCGGCUGUGGAAGACGGUGCGGCACGGCGACAGCUCCGGGUGGAAGGCCGUGGCGUGGCGGGCCUCGUUCGUGUUCCCGGGCAUCGGGUUCUCCGUCUUCACCGCGCUCAACUGCGUGCUCUGGUACAACGGCAGCACGGGCGCUGUGCCGUUCGCGCUGUUCGUGGUGCUGAUCCUGCUCUGGUUCUUCGUGUCGGUGCCGCUGACCCUGGCCGGCGGCCUGCUGGCGUCGCGCGUGCGCGGCCACGUGGAGUACCCCGUGAAGACGAACAAGAUCGCGCGGCAGGUGCCGGCGGCGCAGUGCUCGCCGUGGGUUUUCGUGGCGGUGGCGGGGACGCUGCCGUUCGGGACGCUCUUCAUCGAGCUCUUCUUCAUCAUGUCGAGCCUGUGGCUGGGGCGGGUGUACUACGUGUUCGGGUUCCUGCUGGUGGUGCUGGGGCUGCUGGUGGCGGUGUGUGCGGAGGUGUCGGUGGUGCUCACGUACAUGGGGCUGUGCGUGGAGGACUGGCGGUGGUGGUGGCGCUCCUUCUUCGCCUCCGGCUCCGUGGCCGCCUACAUCCUCGGGUACGCCGUGUACUACCUGGUGUUCGACCUGCACAGCCUCAGCGGCCCGGUGUCCGCCGCGCUCUACGUCGGGUACUCGCUGCUCAUGGCGCUCGCCGUCAUGCUGGCCACCGGCGCCGUCGGGCUUGGCGCCUCCUUCUGCUUCGUCUACUACCUCUUCUCCACCGUCAAGCUCGACUGA